RNAcentral lists this ribosomal RNA (254 nucleotides) under uncultured bacterium. RNAcentral describes it as "partial 16S ribosomal RNA". It matches the Rfam family "Bacterial small subunit ribosomal RNA", at positions 524 to 776 of the family's 1533-position model. The record is from RNAcentral.
UACGUAGGAGGCAAGCGUUGUCCGGAAUUACUGGGCGUAAAGCGCGUGUAGGUGGUGGGACAAGUCUGCUGUGAAAGCGCCUGGCUUAACCGGGCGAGGUCGGCGGAAACUGUCCGACUCGAGGACGGUAGAGGGGGGGUGGAAUUCCCGGUGUAGUGGUGAAAUGCGUAGAGAUCGGGAGGAACACCUGUGGCGAAAGCGGCUCACUGGACCAUAACUGACGCUGAUGCACGAAAGCUAGGGGAGCAAACAGG